Molecule: ribosomal RNA, 254 nt
Filed under: uncultured prokaryote
Description: partial 16S ribosomal RNA
Rfam family: Bacterial small subunit ribosomal RNA
Source: RNAcentral
AAUACGUAGGGUGCGAGCGUUAAUCGGAAUUACUGGGCGUAAAGUGUGCGCAGGCGGCAGAGCAAGUCGAGUGUGAAAGCCCCGGGCUUAACUUGGGAAUUGCGCUCGAAACUACUUUGCUGGAGUGUGGCAGAGGAAGGUGGAAUUCCACGUGUAGCGGUGAAAUGCGUAGAGAUGUGGAGGAACACCAAUGGCGAAGGCAGCCUUCUGGGCCAACACUGACGCUCAUGCACGAAAGCGUGGGGAGCAAACAG